This 1908-nucleotide long non-coding RNA is filed under the name Homo sapiens (human). RNAcentral describes it as "PREDICTED lncRNA (TCONS_00162224)". Lineage: Eukaryota; Metazoa; Chordata; Mammalia; Primates; Hominidae. The record is from RNAcentral.
GCCAUCAGGAGGACUGAAACUGUAAACACAAGCUGGUAUUUUGGUGUGAUCACGCUAAUAUGGCGGUUUGUGAGGUCAAGGGGUGGAAGGUGAAUUAUGGAUCCAGAAUUUCCUUGCUUUUGUCAGUUUAAGUCAGGCUGCUUGCGAGUAGCUGCUUUUCAAACUUGAAUAACUCAGCUAUUUUAAAGCAAUGGAGACCUACCUUAAAUAAUUAGAGGGGCUACACUGGAGAAGUGUCUUCCCAGGAAAGUAGUGGAGGCUCCAUUCUGCAGAACCUUUAAAAUUAGACCAUGAAAGGCAUGUAACAGCCUCGUUCUCAACAUAACCAUGAGUUGUUCACAGCAUAAAGUGUUGGGUAAAACAACCCAAGGUCUUUAUAAAACUUCUCAUCUCAAUGGAAAACCAUUUAGGUGGCUUGUUUUAUUAUUAGAAGUUCACUUAACAAAAAAAUGGAAAAUAGUUUAUUUAACUGUCCAGUGUACCCUAAAAAGAAAUGAACCAAGUUUCAGACAGAACUCGGAAUACUUCUCCCACUUUGCUGUUGAGGAAAAAAUUAUCUUUGUUGUUUAGUUACAGGUAGGCAAUAUAUCUUUAACCAAAGUUGUGCUAGAUGGGGUCUUCAAGGUUAUUUGGAUUUUGAUGUACUAAGAAAAUAUCCUCAGUAGAAAAAUACCAGAAAUGGCAUUCCAACUCACCCUACCAAGGACAAGAAGCAGAUCAUUAGGAACAGAUAUAUUGGAGCUUGGCCCUGUAAAAACAUAGGAUAGCUAACAAAUACAUAAAAUUAGUUGUAUGGCCUCAUUUAUUCCUUCAUAGAGAUACAGCUCCUGGCAACCACCAUUCUACUUGAUGCCUCUAUGAAUCUGACUACUCUAGGUACCUCAGAUGAGUGGAAUUAUGCAGUAUUUGUCCUUUUGUGUGUACAACUAAUUUGACAGGCAGUAUGAUAAGGAACAAUCUGAAUGACACGUAAACAGGAGGGGGUAAAUUCCAAGCACAGCCUGAAUGAGAAGUACAACUCAUUUCCUGUAACCUAGAUGCCUUUUUAACACAUCUAUGCAGUCUCCAUGUGAAACCAGGUGCUGUUCCCAAAGGAGAAAACACUGCCCUCCAGUGGUCUUCAAUGAAGAAAUGGAAAUAGUUUCAGGUGGAAACCAGGCUUCUUGGAAGACUUCAAACUAUGCCAAAUGGUCUGAUUUCACCAUAGAGAUUCUUUGCUGAAGAAUGCAGCUGUAUUAAAGGAAGAAAGAAAACCAAGCUACAGCUCCUUAUAAUUCAACAAGCAUUUAAAAGAUUUAUAAAGAUGGUGCAAUUAUGUAUUUAAGCUGCUUCAACACAAGUUCUUGCCUUUCACUCCCACCCUGUGGCUUACACUGGUAUUACAUCUAUUCUGACAUUUAAAAAUCAACAUUAAAGAACAUAUUGUAAUAAUGUAUUCUAUGGUUUAAAUAUUUAAAAAAUUUUACAUCAUACCUAGAAAGUGUUGUGUACUUUCUAAAGCUUAUAAACUGAAAAGGAUUUGAAGAAUCCUAAUACAGAAUCAUAAGUUAUAAUUCAUCCAAAAUUGUAUAGUUCUUAAAUUUCAAAUCCAAACCAGUGGAUAUCUGUCUUUAGUGACAUUUAGAUUUUAUUCAAUUAAGGUCAUUGUAGCUAUUAUAAAUGGAAGAUUUUACUUCAUUGUGUCUUAUCACUGAAGUACUUCACUCUUGCUUUUCAAAAGAUUUCUUUCAAUUUCUUCAGAGUCUUAUUUGUUCUCUAAGACAAAGACUUGAUUUCAGUUUGUUUUUCUUAAAAUUAAUAUCUUCUCCAAUUUAUUUCCCAGUUUUUUCUAAAUAAAUACUUUAAAUAUAUAGAGUAUUAUUUUUAUAGUAUCUCAGAAUUAGUAAAAUAAAAUCUUGCCAAUACAAA